Sarcoptes scabiei is the source of this 73-nucleotide non-coding RNA. The record is from Rfam. NCBI's taxonomy places the organism in Eukaryota, Metazoa, Arthropoda, Arachnida, Sarcoptiformes, Sarcoptidae.
GGCCGUGUAGCGCAGUGGAUAGCGCGUUGGACUUCUAAUCCAAAGGUCGAGGGUUCGAAUCCCUCCUCGGUCG